Molecule: long non-coding RNA, 260 nt
Filed under: Pan troglodytes (chimpanzee)
Lineage: Eukaryota; Metazoa; Chordata; Mammalia; Primates; Hominidae
Description: long non-coding RNA NONPTRT015610
Source: RNAcentral
GAACUCCUGACUUCAGGUGAUCCGCCCACCUCAGCCCCCCAAAGUGUUGAGAUGGAAACAAACUAAACAAAUUAUCAAUAACACUGACAUUAGUAAAAUUUUAAAGACACCUUUUGUCCUAUACAGUCUCAUAAUUUGAUAUGAUUAACUUAUACAUUUGACUUUGAAUCAGACCUACCAAACUUUGAGGAAAUAGUGGUUCCAGGCUUGAAUAAAAAAGGUCCCAUAUAUUUUGUAAAGUUAGUGUAUUCUUGGUUUCC